Long non-coding RNA from Betta splendens (Siamese fighting fish), 4452 nucleotides. RefSeq lists it as uncharacterized. The record is from RefSeq and is a predicted model, not a curated record. The transcript has 3 exons. Lineage: Eukaryota; Metazoa; Chordata; Actinopteri; Anabantiformes; Osphronemidae.
CGCGCACCCUUUCCUCCAUGUUGGCGGUGCGUUGAGGGACGGACGGAAAUAUCGAAACCGAACUGACAACGUCGAAUUUCCUCGGGUUAACCGCAUACAUUUGAACGAAUUUCACAAGCGAGCUACGCUAAACGUUCAUGAACAAUAAUCACAGCAGUUUGUCCCGGUGAUCCAGAGUUGCCAUGCGACGCCCACAGUCCCACUUCCUACUGAUGAAGUUAUGAAGUAGUGUACAGGCAGCACUUGAAGGCAGCAUUACAGUGGUUACGGCAGACAACAUCGGUACACCAUGUCCCGUAUGACUCAGUUAGCUAGUUAGUUAACAGCUUAAUAAUACCAGUAAACACUUUACACACACAUUAAAAAAAACGAAUAUCGAUUUAAUAUUUGACCAGGUAAUUGCUGUGAAUUUGUAUUUUUAAUAAUAGCUAGUAUAGUAGCCUAGAGUUUAUUAUUUGAAAUUGUUGGCAGUUAGUGUAACUGUAAUGAAAGACAGCAUCACUGUAAGACUGUUCAGAUGCUGCAGCACUUAUCCAUUUGUUCUUGCUUUGAGCACUGUCAUCCAAGAGAUAACAGCCCGGCUCAUAAAAAAAUCAGUUAUUCUUCAGUUGUUAAUACAUUUUUCAUGUACAGUAUGUUUACAAAUAAUUAAAGUCCCAAUAACCGAUAUCAGAUGGUUGCCUGAGAACCAAAACAAAGUCAAGACUAUAUCCUCUACUGUAAAGUCAAUACAUAACCCAGAUCCACACAAUAAGCUACAAAACCUGAGACAUGAUACAACUUGUUUUAUAGUUUAACUUGUCAAAUUUCAAAUAUCACAGAUGUAAUGCUAGUUAUCAAUUAUAAAAGAUGAAUUGUGUGAAUUUGAAAAUGCUCUUUGCUUAAAGCAGCAUCAAUUUUUAAUCAAUUUUAAUCAAUCAAAAAAGCUCCACUACAGCAUUUGGUUCAACUCAUUAGUAAUAUGAUGUUUCCCAGAUGUUACCUUAUAAAAACACAGAUACAAAACACACUUAAAAACUGUGGACUCAGACAGGGUUUAUUCACUUAAAAGCCAAAGACGUGGCGGAGACUGAGCCACCAAGGAAGUGCCAGGUCAGCAUGUGAGCAACAUGAUCAUUCACACCGCCUAUCUAGGAGUGCUAUAAUUAUGCACAUGCCCAUCAUUAGGCCUACAGUAUCAAAUGCCCGACGUGUUUCUUGGAAAACAUUAAACAGAGAUCUCAGACUUGAGAACGAGAAAGACUUGGUUAGGGAUCAUUUGGCAAAUUACGUGGUUGUCUGGGCCAAUGUUAGCUUCCACCACACAACUCUCACCAGUAGAUUUUUUUUUGGGCCACCCACAGUUUUAAUCUUCUCUUUGCUUCUCAAUGAGGAGUUUCUCACCACUUUACAAGGUGGAGCGUCUUCACCAGCCCAACAACUAAUUUAACACAAAUCCUAAAAUAUCAAAGUAAUCCUACCAGACUAACUACAUGUACAUACACCGUGUGUAACAGACUGACAAAUAAGGAGCAUCAAGUUCAUUCAUUUUGUGGGUAAUAAUAUAAUUAAUAAGUAAUAGUAAUAAUAUAAUAGUAAUAGUAAUAGUAAUAAUAUAAUUCAUAUAAAAUACAAAAUGUUAUAAACAAAUAACAGAUGACUAUUUCAGAGAAUCAAAUGUGUGCACUUUUCCAUUUUGCAUGUGUUCACAGACCCGCAGUUAGCGGUUGAGUUCAUUACCAUCCUUUGAUGUGGAGGUUUUCUGGGAUGGGCUGUGAUGACUGGCCUAAUGUGGAGACAUCGCAUCUACAACUAAAAGACAGUAACAUAGCUUAAAACACACGGCACAACAUGCAACAGCCUUUUACUGGACGUGAACCUGUGCCAGUUUUCAAGUCUUUGAAAAGAUUUAAUCACAACCCCUGUAAAAACAGCCUGUAAUAUACACCAACCCAAGCAGCAAAGUUCAAAUGAUCAGAAAACCACAUCCCAUUAGUUAAAAUCGCAAAAAGGAUAUUUUGUAGAUGUGACUUUAGUCUGCUGAAUACUUUUCUGUCUAAAUAUAGAUAAACAUAUAGAAAAAAGCAAGCAGAUCUGCCUGCCAAAAAAAACAAACAAAUAAAAAAAAAAAAAACUUACUUUGAAGAUCACUGUACGACAAUAUACACUACCACAUUCCUACUACUUAUGUGUAUCCUUGUGAUCAUGAUACACCAUCAUCACCUUUCUGUGAAUUUCUUUCCUUAUGCUGUUAUCCCUCCUCCAACUUUGCAACAGUAAUCCCUCGGUGUCAGCGUCUGCGGGUCAGUAAAGUUUUACACAUCCUCUGCAGUAGCUUAUCAAAGCUUUUAUUUCCACUGAAACAGCUGUGCCCUGCUGCUGAGAGUGAAGGGACUCCAGCUAAAAUCAUCAUUAACCAUUAGGGACACGCCAACAGAGUCAGAACUUUGGCUCGUCUUUUGUUAGGACACCAGUUUCCGGUGUACGUCAGUCCUGACACAGAAUGUGGGUCAAGCAUAGCAGUAUAAACUCUAAAUGUCCCAUCCCACAUAAAUAAAUAGCAGGGAUUUGCUUUGUUUUGUACAGUAGAGGUUAUAAGAACAAAAGUCUGAUAUAAUUAUUAUAACCUAUAAACAUGGGGUUUCUAAGCAGGGGGGGCGAUUCAUGCGGUAUAGGUCUGUGAACACAAGCCAAGCACAGCUGAGACGCACACAGCGGGCAGCAGGAGCAGCUACAAUAAGCCAGUGUUGACUUUCAUUUCAAAACGAGCUCAGGCGGUCCAUCCUGUCUGAAGCACAGGCAGAAGCCCUGUGUGUUGCUCUUUCUACCCACCUACUGGGCAAACUAACCUGGUACUGGUUCAGGUCAGGUUUUAAUCUGGUGAAUCCAGACUCUUCCUCCAGUUUAUCCACCAGUUUAUCCAGUGGCAUCACACAUCCUCAAAGCCCAGACCAUUAGUAGUGGCCUCAAAUGUGACAUUUGUAGUACACACAGCUCCUUGUUGAGGCCGUUAACACACAGAGACAACUAGUAUAAAAACUGAAAAUGCAAAGGGCAAAUGCACAAGAUCAACUAUGCUGCCAAUGUAGCAAAGAAUCUAAAUCAAAAAUAAAUGGACGUUUGUACUGGCCUGGUAAAAUGUCAGCUAAAUAUUUUUAAGAUUGCCUCGAGCCAUAAAUACAAGCUGAGACCACAGUCUUGUUGUAAAUGAUUUCUUUCCAUGUCUUGUUCAGACUUCGGAAUUUGUCUUCUGAUGAUGAGCAAGAUGUUGACAUGGCAUUAACAAAGAAGAGAAGUAUUAACUUAAAUGACGUUAACUUUAAUCCUGUGUUAUUUACUGUUCAGUAAUUAAGGCCAACAGUAAAUGAUCUCGUAAAUUAUGAAAAAUCAAGAGUGCAAAGUGUGAGAAGACUGAUAUUUUUAGUUUUAAUCUUCCUUCCCAACAGGCCUCAUAUGUGUUCUACUGUGCAUGUUUUAGACCACUCGCUGCAUGGCCAGCUAUUCCAGUGCUGGAGGUUUGGCAGAAGAUACUGCGGAGGGGAACCUCUUAUUACACUUCUUCCCCAUUUCCUCCUCGUUGCAGUGCAGAGAAACCUGCUUACCCUAGACUCACUGUUUCUUUCCCCGAUGUAAUUCUCCUGAUAUUGUGUCUACCAUAUGGAAAAGUCAUCAGCGCAAAGCACUUUGAAUCUAACCAGGUUCAACUUCACCAUGUGCCAUAAUCCUCAGAAUCUUGAUGACCCGUCCCGUGAAGGAGGAAAAUAUUACAAACGCUGAUGGUCGGCAACAUAUUAAUAACAGGCCAAGCUGCCAGCGUUCAACAGCAUUCUGUAACCAGGCAACCUGCAUCUGCCAAGGAUGACCUCAAUGUUUUACAGGCCUGGGUUCCUGCAGCAGAACCACCACGGAGCUCGUUUAGACCAUUAGCACUUCGUCACCAGAGACGCAGCUGACAAAUGUGGGAAUGACUCAUUAACUUCAUGUGAAAUAAGAUGCUUGGAAAUCGACUGUGUAGAAACUGACAGGUACAUUACAGUAACUGUCAUUUGACUUUAAAUACACACCAGAAGCCCAACUAAACACAUUUUUGCUGUAGCUGCUUCUCUGCUCUUCAGCAUAGUGAGGUGGCCUUUGGAGGAGCGUACUCUAGCCUAACGCAGUACCACCACAUAAUGGAUCCUCGCUCAUGGCUUGGAGGCACUGGUUUUAAUGAGGCCAAGGCUUGGCAGUCAAAUCCUGGGUACUUUCUACAAUACCACAUCGAUAGCUUGUUAUUAAACCAAACUAAUCAGCUGUGGAGGUAUUAGGACUGUGAUUUCUCUGCAUGUGACCAGCGAGAGGUGGACGGAGGGAUGCUUGGUCACUUGAUCGCUGGUUAGAAUAAAAGAAGCUUUCCUUUCCCAAGGUUUGGAGGAGCACAUGGCCAAAUGCCUCUGCAGCUCAUCUCUAAAGCUUCUUCCGCUCUGGUCCAGC